Molecule: transfer RNA, 72 nt
Filed under: Spongospora subterranea
Lineage: Eukaryota; Endomyxa; Phytomyxea; Plasmodiophorida; Plasmodiophoridae
Description: tRNA-Ile
Rfam family: tRNA
About the family: Transfer RNA (tRNA) molecules are approximately 80 nucleotides in length. Their secondary structure includes four short double-helical elements and three loops (D, anti-codon, and T loops). Further hydrogen bonds mediate the characteristic L-shaped molecular structure. tRNAs have two regions of fundamental functional importance: the anti-codon, which is responsible for specific mRNA codon recognition, and the 3' end, to which the tRNAs corresponding amino acid is attached (by aminoacyl-tRNA synthetases). tRNAs cope with the degeneracy of the genetic code in two manners: having more than one tRNA (with a specific anti-codon) for a particular amino acid; and 'wobble' base-pairing, i.e. permitting non-standard base-pairing at the 3rd anti-codon position.
Source: RNAcentral
AGGCUUAUAACUCAAUGGUAGAGUACACAAGUGAUAUUUGUGGAGUUGAUAGUUCAAAUCUAUUUAAGCCUA